GCUAAACCUCUAGCCCCCACAUUUUACCAAACUUUAACCACAAGAAAACAAACCAUUUGACACGAUUAGUAAAGGCGAUUAAACCUCGCAUAGGAGCAAAAGACACAGUACCGCAAGGGAAACAUGAAAAAUCAGUGAAACACUACUAAGCCAAAUAAAGCAGAGAUUCACCCUUGUACCUAUUGCAUCAUGGUCUAGCAAGAACUACACAGACACGGCGUCCCAGCCUGUGCCCCCGAAAUCAAGUGAGCUACCCUAGAGCAACCUAUUUUAGGGUUCACCCGUCCCUGUAGCAAAAGGGUGGGAAGACUCCAGGGUAGCGGUGAAAAGCCUACCGAACUUGCUGAUAGCUGGUUGCCUGACAAUGAACCUAAGUUCAGCCUUAAAUUCCUAAAACACACCAUAGUAAAAACUUAAUUUAAGACUUAGUCAUUAGGGGUACAGCCCUAAUGAGCCGGGAUACAGCCCGAAGUAAAGAGCUAGCAUCAUACUAUACACCAGUAGGCCUUAAAGCAGCCAUCAAAAAAUUGCGUCACAGCACACACCAAAAAAUUACACACACACAAACAACCUCUUACAACCAUCUCAGCGCCAAUCUAUAAAAAUAUAGAAGAACUUAUGCUAGAACUAGUAACAAGAAACCAUCUCUGAGCACAACUGUAAAUCAGCCACAGAACAACUACUGAAAAUUAACAGCUCCAUACACAACUUAAUGAGUAUAAAUUACUACUGUUAAUCCGACACAGGAGUGCUAAAAAGAAAGACUCAAAGUUAGAGAAGGAACUCGGCAAACCAGUAUCCCAACUGUUUACCAAAAACAUAGCCUUUAGCAAUUCAAGUAUUAAAGGUAACGCCUGCCCAGUGAACCAUUUUAAACGGCCGCGGUAUCCUAACCGUGCAAAGGUAGCGUAAUCACUUGUCCCUUAAAUAGGGACCAGUAUGAACGGCUAAAUGAGGAUAAACCUGUCUCCUUUAACAAAUCAGUGAAACUGAUCUACCAGUACAAAAGCUGGUAUAAACCCAUAAGACGAGAAGACCCUGUGGAGCUUUAAACUUUAACCAAGCAACUAACACAAGCUCAGCCAAUGGCUAAAAAUUUUAAGUUGGGGCGACUUCGGAAAUAAACCAAACUUCCGAGCAUAAGACAUACAUCUUACCAAGACCUACAAGUCAAAGCUAAAAUUGACCCAGUACUACUGAUAACCGAACCAAGUUACCCCAGGGAUAACAGCGCAAUCUUCUUCAAGAGUCCCUAUCGACAAGAAGGUUUACGACCUCGAUGUUGGAUCAGGACACCCCAAUGGUGCAGCCGCUAUUAAAGGUUCGUUUGUUCAACGAUUAACAGUCCUACGUGAUCUGAGUUCAGACCGGAGCAAUCCAGGUCGGUUUCUAUCUAUGCAGUUGUUUUCUUUAGUACGAAAGGACCAAGAAAACAGGACCGCUGUCAGCGACACGUCCUAAACACAAGGCUGAACACAACUAAAGCCAAAUAACACACAUACAGCCCGUAGAUUAACGGGGUCUUA
RNAcentral lists this ribosomal RNA (1526 nucleotides) under Sceloporus woodi. Its description in RNAcentral is "16S ribosomal RNA". It matches the Rfam family "Bacterial large subunit ribosomal RNA". The record is from RNAcentral. Lineage: Eukaryota; Metazoa; Chordata; Lepidosauria; Squamata; Phrynosomatidae.